RNAcentral lists this ribosomal RNA (243 nucleotides) under uncultured Actinomycetales bacterium. RNAcentral describes it as "partial 16S ribosomal RNA". It matches the Rfam family "Bacterial small subunit ribosomal RNA", at positions 88 to 334 of the family's 1533-position model. The record is from RNAcentral. Lineage: Bacteria; Bacillati; Actinomycetota; Actinomycetes; Actinomycetales.
UACUCGAGUGGUGAACGGGUGAGUAACACGUGGGUGAUCUGCCCUGCACUUCGGGAUAAGCCUGGGAAACUGGGUCUAAUACCGGAUAGGAGCCAUUUUUAGUGUGAUGGUUGGAAAGUUUUUUCGGUGUAGGAUGAGCUCGCGGCCUAUCAGCUUGUUGGUGGGGUAAUGGCCUACCAAGGCGGCGACGGGUAGCCGGCCUGAGAGGGUGGACGGCCACAUUGGGACUGAGAUACGGCCCAG